RNAcentral lists this transfer RNA (77 nucleotides) under Cordylochernes scorpioides. RNAcentral's name for it is "tRNA-Thr". Lineage: Eukaryota; Metazoa; Arthropoda; Arachnida; Pseudoscorpiones; Chernetidae. The record is from RNAcentral.
UGUCCAGGGAUGGGAAUCGAACCCACAAUGUUCCACCCACCGGGCAGAUGCCAUGUCCACUAGGCUCCACCAUUGAC